UGCUGCUCCGCAUGUGUCGUCGGCCUCGGUCGGCACCAUGCCAGCAGCACGGAUCCUUGGCUGCACCGCGGAAUCCCCCGCGCUGAUCCGACCAGUCCGCUUCGCACCACCGUGCGGACGAGCGCCAGCAAGGCGUCGGUGC
Pseudomonas sp. G5(2012) is the source of this 142-nucleotide non-coding RNA. NCBI's taxonomy places the organism in Bacteria, Pseudomonadati, Pseudomonadota, Gammaproteobacteria, Pseudomonadales, Pseudomonadaceae. The record is from Rfam.